UACGUAGGGUGCAAGCGUUGUCCGGAAUUAUUGGGCGUAAAGAGCUCGUAGGCGGUCUGUCACGUCGGCUGUGAAAUCCCGAGGCUCAACCUCGGGUCUGCAGUCGAUACGGGCAAACUAGAGUAUUGCAGGGGAGACUGGAAUUCCCGGUGUAGCGGUGAAAUGCGCAGAUAUCGGGAGGAACACCGGUGGCGAAGGCGGUUCUCUGGGCCUGUACUGACGCUGAGGAGCGAAAGCGUGGGGAGCGAACAGG
Molecule: ribosomal RNA, 253 nt
Filed under: uncultured bacterium
Lineage: Bacteria
Description: partial 16S ribosomal RNA
Rfam family: Bacterial small subunit ribosomal RNA
Source: RNAcentral